GAUUCGUCACACUAUCAUUAACUGAAUCCAUAGGUUAAUGAGGCGAACCGGGGGAACUGAAACAUCUAAGUACCCCGAGGAAAAGAAAUCAACCGAGAUUCCCCCAGUAGCGGCGAGCGAACGGGGAGGAGCCCAGAGCCUGAAUCAGCAUGUGUGUUAGUGGAAGCGUCUGGAAAGGCGCGCGAUACAGGGUGACAGCCCCGUACACAAAAGCGCAUGUGCUGUGAGCUCGAUGAGUAGGGCGGGACACGUGGUAUCCUGUCUGAAUAUGGGGGGACCAUCCUCCAAGGCUAAAUACUCCUGACUGACCGAUAGUGAACCAGUACCGUGAGGGAAAGGCGAAAAGAACCCCGGCGAGGGGAGUGAAAAAGAACCUGAAACCGUGUACGUACAAGCAGUGGGAGCCCCACCACUAAGCCAGUGGUGAACUCCACAUCCGCAUCCUUUGCUGA
Molecule: ribosomal RNA, 452 nt
Filed under: Salmonella enterica subsp. enterica serovar Typhimurium
Lineage: Bacteria; Pseudomonadati; Pseudomonadota; Gammaproteobacteria; Enterobacterales; Enterobacteriaceae
Description: partial 23S ribosomal RNA
Rfam family: Bacterial large subunit ribosomal RNA
Source: RNAcentral